Molecule: long non-coding RNA, 285 nt
Filed under: Lathyrus oleraceus (garden pea)
Lineage: Eukaryota; Viridiplantae; Streptophyta; Magnoliopsida; Fabales; Fabaceae
Description: Pisum sativum (pea) long non-coding RNA (PSAT_LNC031534)
Source: RNAcentral
UCGAAGUCUUUUGCUCUUCCCCAGUCGAGUAAGAUUCGUAUCCCUUUUGUGGAAUCGAAUGUCCAUCCUAUAAUCGAGUCUGCUCCUAAGCCCUCUUUUGGAUGAUGAGUGUCUUGGUAAUAUAUCCCCAAUUCACGCUUUGGUUGGUCACCUAUUAUAUGCCUAGUAUCCAGUAUCCCUGGUGUUCCUUCCUCCCUGCUCCCUAUUAUGACUUUUUGUCCCUUACGGAGUCGGAUUUUCCUGAGCUGAAGUAUACCUUUCUAGGUCUUCCUCAGAUGAUUUCGG